CAGGAUUAGAUACCCUGGUAGUCCACGCCGUAAACGAUGUCAACUAGCCGUUGGGAGACUUGAUCUCUUAGUGGCGCAGCUAACGCGAUAAGUUGACCGCCUGGGGAGUACGGACGCAAGUUUAAAACUCAAAUGAAUUGACGGGGGCCCGCACAAGCGGUGGAGCAUGUGGUUUAAUUCGAUGCAACGCGAAGAACCUUACCAAUCCUUGACAUCCUCGGAAUUUACCAGAAAUGGUUUAGUGCCUUCGGGAACCGAGUGACAGGUGCUGCAUGGCUGUCGUCAGCUCGUGUUGUGAAAUGUUGGGUUAAGUCCCGUAACGAGCGCAACCCUUAUCCUUAUUUGCCAGCACGUAAAGGUGGGAACUCUAAGGAGACUGCCGGUGACAAACCGGAGGAAGGUGGGGACGACGUCAAGUCAUCAUGGCCCUUACGGAUUGGGCUACACACGUGCUACAAUGGGCAGUACAGAGGGUCGCGAGCCUGCGAGGGUAAGCCAAUCUCAGAAAGCUGUUCGUAGUCCGGAUCGGAGUCUGCAACUCGACUCCGUGAAGUUGGAAUCGCUAGUAAUCGCAGAUCAGAAUGCUGCGGUGAAUACGUUCCCGGGCCUUGUACACACCGCCCGUCACACCAUGGGAGUGGGUUGCACCAGAAGUAGCUAGACUAACCUUCAGGAGGUCGGUUACCACGGUGUGAUUCAUGACUGGGGUGAAGUCGUAACAAGGUA
This 726-nucleotide ribosomal RNA is filed under the name uncultured bacterium. RNAcentral describes it as "bacterial SSU rRNA". It matches the Rfam family "Bacterial small subunit ribosomal RNA", at positions 773 to 1498 of the family's 1533-position model. The record is from RNAcentral.